GGACCCGCACAAGUAGUGGAGCAUGUGGUUUAAUUCGAAGAUACGCGCAGAACCUUACCAACACUUGACAUGUUCGUCGCGACUUUAAGAGAUUAAAGUUUUCGGUUCGGCCGGACGAAACACAGGUGCUGCAUGGCUGUCGUCAGCUCGUGUCGUGAGAUGUUGGGUUAAGUCCCGCAACGAGCGCAACCCUCACUUUUAGUUGCCAUCAUUAAGUUGGGCACUCUGAAAGAACUGCCAGUGAUAAGCUGGAGGAAGGUGGGGAUGACGUCAAGUCCUCAUGGCCCUUACGUGUUGGGCUACACACGUGCUACAAUGGUAUCUACAACAGGAAGCAAGACUGCGAAGUUAAGCAAAUCCCUAAAAGAUACCUCAGUUCGGAUUGCACUCUGCAACUCGAGUGCAUG
RNAcentral lists this ribosomal RNA (407 nucleotides) under uncultured bacterium. RNAcentral's name for it is "bacterial SSU rRNA". It matches the Rfam family "Bacterial small subunit ribosomal RNA", at positions 917 to 1322 of the family's 1533-position model. The record is from RNAcentral.